UAUGGGUUAGUGGCGGACGGGUGAGUAACGCGUGGGUAACCUGCCUUACACAGGGGGAUAACACUUAGAAAUAGGUGCUAAAACCGCAUAAGCGCACAGCUUCGCAUGAAGCGGUGUGAAAAACCCCGGUGGUGUAAGAUGGACCCGCGUCUGAUUAGCUUGUUGGCGGGGUAACGGCCCACCAAGGCGACGAUCAGUAGCCGGACUGAGAGGUUGGCCGGCCACAUUGGGACUGAGAUACGGCCCAGACUCCUACGGGAGGCAGCAG
RNAcentral lists this ribosomal RNA (268 nucleotides) under uncultured bacterium. RNAcentral describes it as "partial 16S ribosomal RNA". It matches the Rfam family "Bacterial small subunit ribosomal RNA", at positions 86 to 354 of the family's 1533-position model. The record is from RNAcentral.